GAUGUUUCAAUUUCCGAUUGUAGGUUCUCCUUCUCAAUUUCAUGUUUCAAAGUUUACUACUGUAUGAGUUCAUAGAUUAAUGGAAUUAGUGGUUUGUUUUUGUAUAUAUCCCAACUUCUGAAGCUUUAAUUCCAAUUCGUUUGGAUAUUGAGCGAUGAGAAUCGAUUCAAAGAUUCAGUUAGAUGGAAUCCAACCGGUAAAUCUCUAUUUUUGAUUGAAAUUUGUUUUUAUUUAGUUUCCAUCUUGCUAAUCUUCUGAAUUUGUUUUCAAUAAUGUUGAAAAAACCAGAUUCUGAAGUGGUGUUGUUCUGCAGCAUUCAUUACACAGAUUUCUCAGUCUAUACAAGUGAGUAUGUGUAACUAGUGAUGGUUGUAGGUUUUGCUGUAAGUUUUGACAUAAUUCAAGGCAAUACUGAUGCCAGAGUUGAAGUUAGAUGAAUGUUAGGUUGCUGCUGUAAUAAAGGAAAAUGGUGGUACUUCAGUCUCAUAUGGUGUUGAAUUGGUGAUUGAUGUUGCUUCAGUGGGAGGUGGUGGUGUGUUACAAGAGAUGAUGAUACUGAAAUUAGUCUUGAAUUGAUCUUGCAGAUGCAGUAUUGGUGUGUGGUUCAGGUGGUAAUUGAAUGGUAAUAUGAAAGCAGCUUGUUGCAGGUUCUGUUGUUAGAAGUUUGAGCUGAAUUGCCGGGUUAGACGAAUGGUUGGCUUCUUGAUUAAUUGCAGUGUAGGAGAUGAUGUUAUUGUAGCCAAGGAUGUGUGUGUGCAAGAGGACUUACUCGUUCCAUGGUCAUGCAUUCAACUUCCUCAACGACAAUGGAUUAGCAAAGUGGAGGGAUUAUUCUGCUGCUAUGGGUGUGAUUUAACUUUGCUGUAGAGUACUUUCCUUGCAUCUUCUUUCAAAAUAUGUUAGAUAAAUGUGGAUGAAACCCAGGGUUGUGUUGAGUUGCUGAUGAUGGUUGUGUUGCUGAUGCUCGUGCUUUAAAGUCAAGAGGAUAGAUGAAUGCUUAGGAAGUUGAGCAUGAACUCAAUAUGUAUCCAGGCAGUGAAAGCAGAACAAGAAGUUGUUACUGCUUGUGUAUUGCUGAUGGUGUUUGAGUAGGGGCAUGAAAGUGACUGCAGCUAUUGGCUCAUGUUGCAAGUGUGCAUAGACGGCUGUGGUCAUGAAGCUGUUGCAGGUAGAUUUUGCAGUAGCAGAGAUGAAGGAUAUGGUGUUUGUCUUGUGGUGGUUUGAAUUGUUGGUUGAGCACUGAUGGUGUGGCGAACCUGUGGUGCAAUGGUAGCACAACUGACUAUAUGUCAUAAGAUGUGUGUUCGACUCACACUAGGUUCACUUAUUUGUGUAUAAUUUUUAUUUUUUUGGAGACAACUUGUGCUAGUUGCCUCCAUAUCUGGAGACAACUUGGGCUAGUUGCUUUCACUUUUGAAGAUAAUUUUGUGCUAGUUGUCUUUACUUUUGAAGACAACUUGAGCUAGUUGCCUCCGAUAUUGACACAACUUCAACAAGUUGACUCCACAUGGUGGUGGUGGUUGGCUGCGGCGAUGGUGGUUAACGGCGGCGAUGGGUGACGGUUG
Long non-coding RNA from Papaver somniferum (opium poppy), 1565 nucleotides. RefSeq lists it as uncharacterized. Lineage: Eukaryota; Viridiplantae; Streptophyta; Magnoliopsida; Ranunculales; Papaveraceae. The transcript has 3 exons. The record is from RefSeq and is a predicted model, not a curated record.